Non-coding RNA from Triticum aestivum (bread wheat), 135 nucleotides. The record is from Rfam. Lineage: Eukaryota; Viridiplantae; Streptophyta; Magnoliopsida; Poales; Poaceae.
UUUAUACUCCAUCCGUCCCAAAAUUCUUGUCUUAGAUUAGUCUAGAGAUAGAUGUAUCUAAUACCAAAACGUGACUUGAUACAUUCAUAUUUAGACAAAUCUAAGACAAGAAUUUUGGAACGGAGGGAGUAUUUC